CACAAUGUUUUGAGACCUCAUUGCUAGGAACUCUUAUGUAAUGAGCUUGCUUCAUAUUGGCUCAGAACCUCAACUGUCACACAGCUAAUAGUAACUCUUCAAGGCCACCAACUAGUGGACAUCAGGACAGUGUAGUUCUGUUUAGUAAUAAAAACAAGUUUACUGUUUUUUUUUCUCUUAAAGUACAGAGAGCAUAGUUGGC
This is a non-coding RNA of Pelobates cultripes (western spadefoot toad), 202 nucleotides long. NCBI's taxonomy places the organism in Eukaryota, Metazoa, Chordata, Amphibia, Anura, Pelobatidae. The record is from the annotation of a GenBank genome assembly.